UGAACGCUAGCGGCAGGCUUAACACAUGCAAGUCGAGGGGUAACAGGGUUUAGUUUACUAGAUUGCUGACGACCGGCGCACGGGUGAGUAACGCGUAUACAAUUUACCUUUUACAGGGGAAUAGCCCAGAGAAAUUUGGAUUAAUGCCCCAUAGUAUUAUAGAGUCACCUGGCUUUAUGAUUAAAGUUUCGGCGGUAAAAGAUGAGUAUGCGUCCUAUUAGCUAGAUGGUAAGGUAACGGCUUACCAUGGCGACGAUAGGUAGGGGUCCUGAGAGGGAGAUCCCCCACACUGGUACUGAGACACGGACCAGACUCCUACGGGAGGCAGCAGUGAGGAAUAUUGGGCAAUGGAGGCAACUCUGACCCAGCCAUGCCGCGUGCAGGAAGACUGCCCUAUGGGUUGUAAACUGCUUUUAUACAGGAAGAAACUUACCCACGUGUGGGUAACUGACGGUACUGUAAGAAUAAGCACCGGCUAACUCC
RNAcentral lists this ribosomal RNA (483 nucleotides) under uncultured bacterium. Its description in RNAcentral is "bacterial SSU rRNA". It matches the Rfam family "Bacterial small subunit ribosomal RNA", at positions 30 to 504 of the family's 1533-position model. The record is from RNAcentral.